UACGGAGGAUCCGAGCGUUAUCCGGAUUUAUUGGGUUUAAAGGGUGCGUAGGCGGUUUGAUAAGUUAGAGGUGAAAUGUCGGGGCUCAACCCCGAAACUGCCUCUAAUACUGUUGGACUAGAGAAUAGUUGCGGUAGGCGGAAUGUAUGGUGUAGCGGUGAAAUGCUUAGAGAUCAUACAGGACACCGAUUGCGAAGGCAGCUUACCAAACUAUAUCUGACGUUGAGGCACGAAAGCGUGGGUAGCAAACAGG
Molecule: ribosomal RNA, 253 nt
Filed under: uncultured bacterium
Lineage: Bacteria
Description: partial 16S ribosomal RNA
Rfam family: Bacterial small subunit ribosomal RNA
Source: RNAcentral